AAGUCGUAACAAGGUUUCCGUAGGUGAACNUGCGGAAGGAUCAUUG
This 46-nucleotide ribosomal RNA is filed under the name Goodenia stellata. RNAcentral describes it as "partial 18S small subunit ribosomal RNA". It matches the Rfam family "Eukaryotic small subunit ribosomal RNA", at positions 1786 to 1831 of the family's 1831-position model. The record is from RNAcentral. Lineage: Eukaryota; Viridiplantae; Streptophyta; Magnoliopsida; Asterales; Goodeniaceae.